CCGGUAAACGGCGGCCGUAACUAUAACGGUCCUAAGGUAGCGAAAUUCCUUGUCGGGUAAGUUCCGACCUGCACGAAUGGCGUAAUGAUGGCCAGGCUGUCUCCACCCGAGACUCAGUGAAAUUGAACUCGCUGUGAAGAUGCAGUGUACCCGCGGCAAGACGGAAAGACCCCGUGAACCUUUACUAUAGCUUGACACUGAACAUUGAGCCUUGAUGUGUAGGAUAGGUGGGAGGCUUUGAAGUGUGGACGCCAGUCUGCAUGGAGCCGACCUUGAAAUACCACCCUUUAAUGUUUGAUGUUCUAACGUUGGCCCGUAAUCCGGGUUGCGGACAGUGUCUGGUGGGUAGUUUGACUGGGGCGGUCUCCUCCUAAAGAGUAACGGAGGAGCACGAAGGUUGGCUAAUCCUGGUCGGACAUCAGGAGGUUAGUGCAAUGGCAUAAGCCAGCUUGACUGCGAGCGUGACGGCGCGAGCAGGUGCGAAAGCAGGUCAUAGUGAUCCGGUGGUUCUGAAUGGAAGGGCCAUCGCUCAACGGAUAAAAGGUACUCCGGGGAUAACAGGCUGAUACCGCCCAAGAGUUCAUAUCGACGGCGGUGUUUGGCACCUCGAUGUCGGCUCAUCACAUCCUGGGGCUGAAGUAGGUCCCAAGGGUAUGGCUGUUCGCCAUUUAAAGUGGUACGCGAGCUGGGUUUAGAACGUCGUGAGACAGUUCGGUCCCUAUCUGCCGUGGGCGCUGGAGAACUGAGGGGGGCUGCUCCUAGUACGAGAGGACCGGAGUGGACGCAUCACUGGUGUUCGGGUUGUCAUGCCAAUGGCACUGCCCGGUAGCUAAAUGCGGAAGAGAUAAGUGCUGAAAGCAUCUAAGCACGAAACUUGC
Molecule: ribosomal RNA, 878 nt
Filed under: Escherichia coli
Lineage: Bacteria; Pseudomonadati; Pseudomonadota; Gammaproteobacteria; Enterobacterales; Enterobacteriaceae
Description: partial 23S ribosomal RNA
Rfam family: Bacterial large subunit ribosomal RNA
Source: RNAcentral